RNAcentral lists this long non-coding RNA (779 nucleotides) under Lathyrus oleraceus (garden pea). RNAcentral describes it as "Pisum sativum (pea) long non-coding RNA (PSAT_LNC034260)". The record is from RNAcentral. Lineage: Eukaryota; Viridiplantae; Streptophyta; Magnoliopsida; Fabales; Fabaceae.
AACGUAUGGGUGUAAGUGCAAGGGACAUGUCUCAUUGUAAGAAAGCCCAAGAGUAAGCUAUGUGAGGUUGAUGGCGAUGCUUAAAAAGCAAUCGACUUACAAGGGUGUAAAAAAUGGGCUCGAUAUUAAAUCGAGAAAGUAUGAUUUUUUUUAUAAUUUUUUUAAAAAAUGGUUUUUGAACUAUGCAUUACUAACAAAUGAAAUUAUAAUAAACAUAAAAAAGAUAUUAACAAAAUACUAAAAGAAUAAAAAAUACUAAAAGAAAAAUAAUAUAACUAAAAGAAAUAAAAUGCUAAAAAACACCACUCAUGAGUAUUGAACCCACCCCACUCAAGAAAAUGCACACUGCCCUUCUCCACCAGACCACUCAACAAUAUUUGCUACUAAGAUACUAUCAUAAAUAUAUGAACUGGGCUAACAGAUUUAAAACAAAAUAAAAAAAAAACAAAACAAACAUUUUUAUGGUUUUUUAUUAUCUCUGUUAAAAAUAAAUUAAGCUAAAUAAAAAAUAAUAAUAAAAAAUAAAUAAAUAAUAAUAAUAAAAGAAAAUAAGAACAUAUAAACAUUUUCUGAUUUUUUAUUAAAAAGAACAAAAUAAAUUAAAUAGUAAAAAAGAAAUAAUUAAAAAUCAAGAAAAAACAAAAAAAGAAAAAAGAAAUGGAAACAGCAGAAGCAUCGUCUUCCUCACUCCCUCUCACCUUGCGAACUCAACCUUAGCUAGCAAUGGCGAACUCGCACUUCUCGUCCCUCUUAUGACGCCGCUCAUCAACGAAACCCUC